UUAAGGUAGAAGAGAUGUCUUUCAUUAAGCUCUAGUUUCUUUUUUUAAUUGGUCUGAUGUAAUUAUAAUCUUAAACAUGUUUUGAUUGGCUAUAAGCUUCUCUGUUGAAGAAAACACAACAAAGAAGAGAAAAUCUGAGUUAUGUGUUUGCAAUUUUUAAUAGAUUUAUUUAUAGCAUUUUAUGAAUGAAUGUUGUUGGAUUUUGUUUUCUUGAUUCUUGGCUGUUUUUCUUUAGUGUUGUCCAGAUCCGGGGCCACAGGUUGGUCACCUCUGGUCUAAACCUGCAUAUCACUGUUCAGAGAAACUGUCUGUCCAUGGGGGCAAACCUUGCAUCAGUUCAGGACUUGAACGAGUACAAUCAGAUUCAGAUUAUAGUAACUGCAGCAGGUCACGGGGCCAAACAAGCAUGGAUUGGAGGCACUAAUGCACAGGAGGAGAGCAUUUGGUUGUGGAGCGAUGGAAGCCGUUUCGACUACACACACUGGUGUUCUGGACAGAAUAAUAAAGAUGGAGGCAACCAGCGCUGUUUACAGAUAAACUAUUCAGGUAUAAGAAAAUAUCAACCCACUCUGUGUUUUUGGUUGGAAAGAUGACUGUCAAGUUAAAACAGCAAAUGGUGUAGUUGUGUGAGUGCAAUACCAUCUCCACCCAGCUGGCACGUGGCUCACAGAAAAUCAAGCACACCCGUCUCUCUCACUCAGGCCUUCAGGAGCCUAUAAGGCAACCCAGCACACCUGUGUUUGGGAUAAUCUCUACAAACAAAGACCUCAUCUUUAAGCUCCUGCAGAAACACCACUGGUAGGAACUGAACUUUAAACCUGUAUUCGGAGGACCUAGCUGGCUUAAGGAGCGAGGGGUGAAAUAGUUUUUCCACCGCACCAAAUAAAGUUUAAUUUUACAUUUUUUGGAAAGUCAA
Molecule: long non-coding RNA, 916 nt
Organism: Xiphophorus hellerii (green swordtail)
Lineage: Eukaryota; Metazoa; Chordata; Actinopteri; Cyprinodontiformes; Poeciliidae
Exons: 3
Source: RefSeq, a predicted model, not a curated record